Molecule: long non-coding RNA, 2180 nt
Organism: Oryzias javanicus (javanese ricefish)
Lineage: Eukaryota; Metazoa; Chordata; Actinopteri; Beloniformes; Adrianichthyidae
Source: Ensembl
AGUUCGACCCCACAUUCCAGUUUGUGAUCAUGAUCCUGCAGAACGUUGGAAGAAUCAACUCCAGCGUCUUUGAUAGAAACGGCUUCGGCUCCAUCACCACCCUCCAGCUGAACGGGUCGGGCGUCACACAGAUUUCUGAGAACGUCUGCAGCUCCGAUCUCUCAGUUUGGACCGGAACCUUCUGUCAGAGAUGAACACAAACUGGUUCCGAGAUCCUGCUUCCCUGGACACUCUCAGCCUGGCCGGAAACCAGAUUGAAGUUGUGGACGCGACCGCGCUCCACGGACUCACGAACCUCAAACAGCUCCGGCUGAAUAACAACCGGAUCAGAACCAUCCACCCCGACAGUUUCACCUCCCUGGUCUGGUUGACGGAGUCGGACUUGUCUGACGACCGGCUGACCCGGCUCUCGCCGCGACUCCUCGGGUCGCUGAGGUCUGUGAGGUCCAUCCGUCUCCAUGGAAACCGCUGGAGCUGUUGGUGUGAUGCUGAAGACUUUGUGGCGUCUCUGAAAGACCUGCAGAACCGGUCUGUGCUGGUCCGACCCACACAGGUGACCUGUGAGAUCCCCCCCCUCUCUGAAAGGUCAGCCUGUCGUCAAUGUGAGCGUUUGUCCAACAGCAACCCCCAGAGUCCAGCAGAACCAGACCCAAUCCGCUGACAACCGUCCCUCCAUCCUCCGGUGCGCCUGAACAACCCGUCAACGCUUCUGUUUAGGAUCGGACUCCAUUCAGGAGCAUCUUUUUUAUCUCCUAGUUUUUUUUUCAUAAAGUUGAACAUUUUUGAACCCUCUAAAGCAGAACAUCCAUUUAUUUAUAUUUUUAAACUUUUUAACAAGGUUUUUGAUCAUUUAAAAUUAAAAUGCUAGAAAUGACAAUGGCACCAUCUUGUGGCUAAACUGAAAAGUGCACCAUUUUUUUAUUUAGCUUUUUCCUGUUUGUUUGACCUGCACAAGUGAUUUAUCAAAGUCUGAGGAGUUUCAGGUUUAAUUUUAGUUUUUCUUUUUUCUUGAAGAAUAAAGUCAGAAUUCUGAACUGACUUUAAAGUCAGAAUUCUGACUUUAAAGUCAGAAUUUCCCUUGACCUUUUUUUUUUUUUCCAUGGCCCUAAUCCUCUUCCGUGAAUUCCUCCAUGAUCAACUUGCAUUUUUUAUUUUCUUUCUUAACCUUUUGAAUGUCAGAUGCUAGCUUGACACCAGCAUCUUUCAGAGAGUUCUCCUUGUCCCGUAAGGCUUUCAACUGUUUGUUCUCCCUCACCUGUCUUACCCUCAUACACUCAGUACGUCACCUGUCCCACCUCAGACAAUAGAACACUGGACCGGUUUUUUGCCAACACCAAGGAGGCCUUCAGCUCAGGGAACAAGGAGGCGCUGAGGAGGAGGAUCAGGGAGGGAAGAAGAUGGAGGAACAGCAGCAGAACAUCAGUGGGACGUGGAGAAGCCUGAAAACCCUCUCUGGCUACAACACCCCCCAUUCAUGGGUUAAUAGGUUUGACAUAAGCAACUUCAGCUGAUGAUUGAACCGCCUGAAGGUCGCGGUGAUCCCGCCCCUUCUUCAUACCUGUGCGGGGUUGUGGGUUUCGUGUGGAGACCUUUAGCACAGUGUUUUUUCAACCUUUUUUGAGCCAAGGCACACUUUUUCAAUGAAAAAAAUCCCGCGGCACACUAGUAUCCAAAAGGUAAAAAUUUUAAUCGGUAUUGAUGUACAAUCUAAUUUACAUUUUUUAAAUAAGUGGGAAGCGUCAUUGCAGCACAGAGGCGCUGUCAUUUUAACCCAGUGUUUCUCAAUGUCAAUUCUCGUACCCCCCUCCACACACACAAACACAACUUUCUGCUGCGAAUAUCAUUGGUACCAUUAGUCAAUUUUCUCAAGUUAAACUUUUACCUCUUCAAAACAGUCUACAUUUAUUAUCAUUAAAGAAUUAUUUAAAAAAAUAUAUUUAAAAAAAACUUAUAAAUAAUCAGUUUUUAUUAAUGUUUCUUUUUUUUAAGAAUACUUCCAAAACUUUCAAAGUAAAAACAACAAUCUUUCCUUGUUUCCCUCCACAGUCGUGAUGGGAAUUCUGGCUUUUCUCAAAAAUUCUGUUCUUUUGCAUUAGCUCUCUGAAAACAGUGGCUUUUUCAGCUGCAAAAUGACUUUUUAUGUUGUUUUUUUUGCUUUAUUUAAUUUAUCAUAAAUUAUU